RNAcentral lists this ribosomal RNA (288 nucleotides) under uncultured bacterium. RNAcentral's name for it is "partial 16S ribosomal RNA". It matches the Rfam family "Bacterial small subunit ribosomal RNA", at positions 773 to 1060 of the family's 1533-position model. The record is from RNAcentral.
GUGGAUUAGAUACCCUGGUAGUCCACGCCGUAAACGAUGAGAACUAGCCGUUGGUCUCCUUGAGAGGUUAGUGGCGCAGCUAACGCGAUAAGUUCUCCGCCUGGGGAGUACGGCCGCAAGGUUAAAACUCAAAUGAAUUGACGGGGGCCCGCACAAGCGGUGGAGCAUGUGGUUUAAUUCGACGCAACGCGAAGAACCUUACCUGGUCUUGACAUCCACGGAAUCCUGCAGAGAUGUGGGAGUGCCUUCGGGAACCGUGAGACAGGUGCUGCACGGUUGUCGCCAACU